GGGCUGCACCGGCACACGCGAGCCCUGUUCCAGGCAACGUGUGCACCAUAACACACUCCGCACCUGGAACCACAGCCCUCCUGGUCUCAAGAAACACAAACAUUUCUUGAUUCCAUACUCACAUUGAUUGAAACAGAUCAUUCUCCAGUUGGGAAAUGAAAACAAAGUCUAAUAAUGGAACUGAUUUUAAAUUGUCACGAUUAUUGCACGACAUGCAUGCCUUGCAACUGAUAAGCUGCAAGAGUUCUUCCUGAUGUGCUGCCAACACUGACUCAAGUUGCUUUCUGAAGGCAUUAUCCAUUUUAUGAAGCUUUUCCACAGCAAUCCUAAAAAAAUUAUUGAAAAAAAAUCACUAUCCUGCAAACAACUGAAGUAUUUUGCUUUGUCCAGUUCUGCCUUUGAUAAGAUUUUAAUAACUUAAGCAUGAAGACAAUUAUAUAUUGGCAUCAGAAGUGUCCUGUUUGUUCAAGUAUAAUUUCUAGCUUUAUGCACCGUGUUUAGGACCUCUGGCAUUCUCUAAGGAGAGGUAUUUAAUCGCUAGCAAAGGAUAUGAAGAUUAGGGCUGUUACUGUCAACAUGGACAAGAACUCUACCUAUUUUCAAGCAGCUCCUUAUGCUUUUGAGUCCCAAGAAGUGAAUGAAAUGUGUGAUCCUGUGAACAGCCUGUGAGCCUGUGUCUCACAGAAACAGAAAAGUGUCUCCUUCACCAUAAAGAAGCAUUUCUUUAACUGCAAGCAAAUUCUGCUUAUAAGGGAUAAUUCUUAAAUAUACAGGAACAAAAUGCAAGGCAAUUUUACAUAAUAAUUAACAACAAAAUUCUGAAACAAACCAGAAUUAUUUAGAAUAAAAAUUUCAGUUUCACUAUUGAUCUUCUGACAGUUUCAAACCCCAAUCCUAUUGACUAUUUGAGGUGGUUUGUUUUGCUUGGCUUUUUUGUUAUUAAUGUUUGUUUUUGAUUUGUUGUGGUUCUGUUUUUUUAUUCUCAUGCAGUCUUAUUAACUAGCUGUUAUUUUAUCAAGAAUAGUUGGGAGGAAGGCAGAAAAACAUGAGAAGGGGAACAAAGAAUAAAGUAAAAAUCAUCAGUUUAGUAAACUUCUCCAUCAUUCCAGAAGCAUAUGAAAUAAUUGUUCAGAGUACCUGUUUCUGUAUCAUCUCAUACUUAACUAUUAAUUGAUUGAAGAAAUUGACAGUGCAAGAGGAACAAGAAAAUAAAUCUUGCUAUUUGUAUGGGAAAAGAAUGACAGGUAAUUUAGAAACCGUCUGUCACAGACUGAAACAGUAAUUAACAGACACCAAGUUGGGCAGGAGUGUUGAUCUGCUGGAGGACAGGAAGGCUCUACAGAAGGGAUUAGGACAGGUUGGAUUGAUGGGAUGAGGCCAAUUGUAUGAGGUUACUUUCAAAGAAAAUGGAAAUAAAGAAGUUCAGAUGCUGAAUGCUGUAACUGAAUGCCAAUUCCAUGAAGUAAGUCACUUUUCCAGCAAGAAUUCCUUCUAGGCCCAGUUUGUAACUGGGCUCACCAAGUAGUUAAAAAGGUGUUACACAUUAUUUCACCACAUAAUUGAGCAUUUCUGCACAGUUAUUGAUAGUGCAACUCUCCAGUAAUUGAACAGUCACAAAAUAAACUAUUACAAGUAUUCACCUUUGAGUUUGAAGACUUUUAUUUCUCUCUUCAAUCAGCUUCUUCUCUUUGAAAUCAAAGUUCUCCUUCAUUUGUUUAACCUGCACCUCCAGCUGGCUUAAUAGCUCUCCUUUACCUUGCCACCUCUUUUUCAGUGCACUGUAAAAAAAAUGCACAUAUUUACAAUGAAUAUAAAUACCACUUCUUAGGAAGGCAGAAAAGUUUCUCAAGUUUUUCCUCAUUUCUGUGGGUUUUCAUAGCAAGCAAGAAUAACUUCAGAGCAGUGUUGCAUACAAUGAUCCCAAAGAAUUAUUGUGAUUUGUAUGUAUCACCUGUGUGCAUUCUUAAUGUCAUCAAGUUCCACUUCUUUUUCUUCUAGCAGUUGCUUUAAUUCCUCUUUUCUUUCAUUUUGCCUUUCUAAUUUUUUCAUUAGCUUUUCACAUUCAGUAGCUUUUUCAUCCAACUGUAUUUGAAGCAAUUUCUGAGAUUCCCGAUUUUCUUCAUGGUGUUUUUUGAUUUGUUUAUCUUUUUCUUGUAAGCCCUUUAGAAGAUAAAUACUUCAGAACACACAAACUCCCUUAACUUUAUUGUUACCCCUUAAGAGUAUGUGUUUAGUCUAUGAUGGAAUAAAGCAGAGAACAUAAAAGUUUACUCUUCUGAAUGUAUGAAGAACACUUAAUAAAGUGAUAUUCAGAAUCUUCAUCUGACAGAAGUCUGAAUUUAAAAAAAAGUCAUUAAAACAUAAAUCUGAAGUUGAAAGCAAGAUAAGAAUAAAGUUAUUUUGAACUCUUAUUCUACAUAAGAGUUGAAUAAACAACUUAUAUGUAAGUCACUGAGCUCACAAUCUGUGUAACAAUAACUUAUGCAUCUAACUUUGACUGAUGUAACACUAUAAAACUUUGAUUAUUUAUUAAGCUAAGCGUUCAAGUCUCUAAAUGAGACAAAUGGAAUUAUUGGGACAAAACAUAUUACUUCUGCUGCCAAAAUGCUAUUUUACACGAACAAAAUAAAUAAAAAAUAUUUAUGCUGUAAAACAAAUGUGAGGCAAACUGUUAAAAAUAAUUUUUCCUUUUAAACACUUGAGAAGAAUUAUGCUAUCUUGGUUUCAUCUCUCUCAAAAUCAUUAUCAUGAAUAAAGUGAAGCAAGACAAAGAGAAGAAAGUCUGUACAUAAAUAUGGUUCAAUGAGCUGUUCAAAGUAGUAUCACUGUGCAUGUAUUUAAUAAAAAGCCCCCUUCUGCUCUCAGUGAAAUGAAUUGCCAUGGAAAGCCUGACUGUGAUUUGUGAGUCUGAAAACUGGAAGUGCAGACCCAGCUUUUAUCAAAGGGUUUGUGACAGCUAAAAUGAAAACUUGCAGUGAAAGUUAAGCACACAAACUGUCAGAUAUGGCACUUACUUCUUUUAGUUUCCUAAUUGUUUCUGUCUGAUCAUCCACUAUUUUGUUUUUAAUUUUUAUGGUAUCACUGUCCUGUUCCUUCUGCUUUUUUAACAUGUCAAUCUCAUUUGUUAAAACUUCAAUUUUUGCCUCCAGUUUCCCCCGAUCUUGUGCAAGAUGAGCUCCUGGACAAAACAGGAUACCGAUUUCAAGAUGUGGAAUGUUGGGAGAUUGGGCUGGGGGAGGUAAAGUGGAAUUGAUGGAUGACAGAAGAAAAUGCAAGCAACCAGGCCAAAAACUGCCAUAGAAGUGAAAUAAAAUACAUCCUCUCUCAGCUGGCACUACAAGAACUCCACUACAUUUGUUAAUAUCUACAUGCAAUUAUUUUUGUAACCUCCAGCUUUAGUUUGAUCAGGAGACAUGUUUAGCUUCAGAUGAUGAUAUAUGUAACUUGAAAUGAUACAACACCUACUCGGUAU
This is a long non-coding RNA of Passer domesticus (house sparrow), 3472 nucleotides long. RefSeq lists it as uncharacterized. The record is from RefSeq and is a predicted model, not a curated record. NCBI's taxonomy places the organism in Eukaryota, Metazoa, Chordata, Aves, Passeriformes, Passeridae. The transcript has 3 exons.